CGGAAUUACUGGGACGUAAAGCGCAUGCAGGUGGUUUGUUAAGUCAGAUGUGAAAGGACCCGGGGCGUCAACCUACGGAAUAGCAUUUAGUAAACUGGCAGACUAGAGUACUGUAGAGGGGGGUAGGAAUUUCAGGUGUAGCGGUGAAAUGCGUAGAGAUCUGAAGGAAUACCGGUGGCGAAGGCGGCCCCCUGGACAGAUACUGACACUCAGAUGCGAAAGCGUGGGGAGCAAACAGGAUUAGAUACCCUGGUAG
Molecule: ribosomal RNA, 256 nt
Filed under: uncultured bacterium
Lineage: Bacteria
Description: partial 16S ribosomal RNA
Rfam family: Bacterial small subunit ribosomal RNA
Source: RNAcentral